Molecule: ribosomal RNA, 410 nt
Filed under: Cedecea sp. R11.24
Lineage: Bacteria; Pseudomonadati; Pseudomonadota; Gammaproteobacteria; Enterobacterales; Enterobacteriaceae
Description: bacterial SSU rRNA
Rfam family: Bacterial small subunit ribosomal RNA
Source: RNAcentral
GGACGGGUGAGUAAUGUCUGGGGAUCUGCCUGAUGGAGGGGGAUAACUACUGGAAACGGUAGCUAAUACCGCAUAACGUCGCAAGACCAAAGAGGGGGACCUUCGGGCCUCUUGCCAUCGGAUGAACCCAGAUGGGAUUAGCUAGUAGGUGGGGUAAUGGCUCACCUAGGCGACGAUCCCUAGCUGGUCUGAGAGGAUGACCAGCCACACUGGAACUGAGACACGGUCCAGACUCCUACGGGAGGCAGCAGUGGGGAAUAUUGCACAAUGGGCGCAAGCCUGAUGCAGCCAUGCCGCGUGUGUGAAGAAGGCCUUCGGGUUGUAAAGCACUUUCAGCGAGGAGGAAGGCAUUGAGGUUAAUAACCUUGGUGAUUGACGUUACUCGCAGAAGAAGCACCGGCUAACUCCGU